RNAcentral lists this ribosomal RNA (1322 nucleotides) under Serratia sp. UIWRF0126. Its description in RNAcentral is "bacterial SSU rRNA". It matches the Rfam family "Bacterial small subunit ribosomal RNA", at positions 118 to 1432 of the family's 1533-position model. The record is from RNAcentral. Lineage: Bacteria; Pseudomonadati; Pseudomonadota; Gammaproteobacteria; Enterobacterales; Yersiniaceae.
UGGGAAACUGCCUGAUGGAGGGGGAUAACUACUGGUAAACGGUAGCUAAUACCGCAUAACGUCUACGGACCAAAGUGGGGGACCUUCGGGCCUCAUGCCAUCAGAUGUGCCCAGAUGGGAUUAGCUAGUAGGUGGGGUAAUGGCUCACCUAGGCGACGAUCCCUAGCUGGUCUGAGAGGAUGACCAGCCACACUGGAACUGAGACACGGUCCAGACUCCUACGGGAGGCAGCAGUGGGGAAUAUUGCACAAUGGGCGCAAGCCUGAUGCAGCCAUGCCGCGUGUGUGAAGAAGGCCUUCGGGUUGUAAAGCACUUUCAGCGAGGAGGAAGGGUUCAGUGUUAAUAGCACUGUGCAUUGACGUUACUCGCAGAAGAAGCACCGGCUAACUCCGUGCCAGCAGCCGCGGUAAUACGGAGGGUGCAAGCGUUAAUCGGAAUUACUGGGCGUAAAGCGCACGCAGGCGGUUUGUUAAGUCAGAUGUGAAAUCCCCGCGCUUAACGUGGGAACUGCAUUUGAAACUGGCAAGCUAGAGUCUUGUAGAGGGGGGUAGAAUUCCAGGUGUAGCGGUGAAAUGCGUAGAGAUCUGGAGGAAUACCGGUGGCGAAGGCGGCCCCCUGGACAAAGACUGACGCUCAGGUGCGAAAGCGUGGGGAGCAAACAGGAUUAGAUAUCCCUGGUAGUACCACGCUGUAAACGAUGUCGACUUGGAGGUUGUGCCCUUGAGGCGUGGCUUCCGGAGCUAACGCGUUAAGUCGACCGCCUGGGGAGUACGGCCGCAAGGUUAAAACUCAAAUGAAUUGACGGGGGCCCGCACAAGCGGUGGAGCAUGUGGUUUAAUUCGAUGCAACGCGAAGAACCUUACCUACUCUUGACAUCCAGAGAAUUCGCUAGAGAUAGCUUAGUGCCUUCGGGAACUCUGAGACAGGUGCUGCAUGGCUGUCGUCAGCUCGUGUUGUGAAAUGUUGGGUUAAGUCCCGCAACGAGCGCAACCCUUAUCCUUUGUUGCCAGCACGUAAUGGUGGGAACUCAAAGGAGACUGCCGGUGAUAAACCGGAGGAAGGUGGGGAUGACGUCAAGUCAUCAUGGCCCUUACGAGUAGGGCUACACACGUGCUACAAUGGCGUAUACAAAGAGAAGCGAACUCGCGAGAGCAAGCGGACCUCAUAAAGUACGUCGUAGUCCGGAUCGGAGUCUGCAACUCGACUCCGUGAAGUCGGAAUCGCUAGUAAUCGUAGAUCAGAAUGCUACGGUGAAUACGUUCCCGGGCCUUGUACACACCGCCCGUCACACCAUGGGAGGUGGGUUGCAAAAGAAGUAGGUA